Molecule: ribosomal RNA, 447 nt
Filed under: uncultured bacterium
Lineage: Bacteria
Description: bacterial SSU rRNA
Rfam family: Bacterial small subunit ribosomal RNA
Source: RNAcentral
GACGAACGCUGGCGGCGUGCUUAACACAUGCAAGUCGAACGUGAUUUUUAAGGAAAGCCCUUCGGGGUGGGAAUUAAAAUGAAAGUGGCGAACGGGUGAGUAACACGUGAGCAACCUACCUUACACAGGGGGAUAGCCGUAGGAAACGACGAUUAAUACCGCAUGAGACCACAGAAUCGCAUGAUAUAGGGGUCAAAGAUUUAUCGGUGUAAGAAGGGCUCGCGUCUGAUUAGCUAGUUGGAAGGGUAAAGGCCUACCAAGGCGACGAUCAGUAGCCGGUCUGAGAGGAUGAACGGCCACAUUGGAACUGAGACACGGUCCAAACUCCUACGGGAGGCAGCAGUGGGGAAUAUUGCACAAUGGGGGGAACCCUGAUGCAGCGACGCCGCGUGAGCGAAGAAGGUUUUCGAAUCGUAAAGCUCUGUCCUAUGAGAAGAUAANGACGNU